UCCCCUUGUUCCAUUGGAUUUUGAUUUUCCUUAUUUGCAUUUGUUUCAUCUAUUCAUCUUUGAAAUGUCUUGAAUAUUUGCCUCCUUGCUUGUUUGUGUUUAAGUCUGGAUAACUUGUCUUGAAUGGUCUGCUUAACAUUUGAAGUCGUAGCCUAUUCUUGUUGAAAUUCUUUGGAUCAUUAUACUGAGCUCAGAAUUAGUCAUAUUUGGUUAGUGACCUGCAUUUCUGAAGUUUGUGUUGCUCAGUUUUGUAUUGUUUGCCUGAGUAUAAAGGUUAUAUUGUUUAAAUCUUGAUUUGUAUUUACUUAAUUUGGCCAUGGCUACCCUUUCAGAGUUUGAUUCCAGUUGAUGUUGAUAAUCUUAAUGUAUGAAUUGAGAAUAACUAACUAGGGUCAAUUUUUGACCAAAUAGAUGAGAACUAAAGUUAGAAACCCCUAGGCCAGUAAUUAGGAAAAGGGACAGGGGUAUUAAGGGCAUUUGAAUAUAGGGAAUCUUGUAUCAAACUCCUAGAACAUUCUAGUGAGAGGUCUAAGUAUAAUUUCUACCUCAAACUUGAGGCACAAGUCAGAAAACCAAGGACCAUUUAGGAAAAACUGAAAAUUGGGU
Molecule: long non-coding RNA, 606 nt
Filed under: Nicotiana benthamiana
Lineage: Eukaryota; Viridiplantae; Streptophyta; Magnoliopsida; Solanales; Solanaceae
Description: long non-coding RNA (NBEN_LNC012706)
Source: RNAcentral